GACGAACGCUGGCGGCGUGCCUAAUACAUGCAAGUAGAACGCUGAAGGAGGAGCUUGCUUCUCUGGAUGAGUUGCGAACGGGUGAGUAACGCGUAGGUAACCUGCCUGGUAGCGGGGGAUAACUAUUGGAAACGAUAGCUAAUACCGCAUAAUAGUAGAUGUUGCAUGACAUUUACUUAAAAGGUGCAAUUGCAUCACUACCAGAUGGACCUGCGUUGUAUUAGCUAGUGGGUGGGGUAACGGCUCACCAAGGCGACGAUACAUAGCCGACCGGAGAGGGUGGUCGGCCCCACUGGGACUGGGACACGGCCCAGCCUCCUUCGGGGGGCAGCCGUAGGGGAUCUUCGGCAAUGGGCGGAAGUCUGACCGGGCCACGCCGCGUGGGUGGAGAAGGUUUUCGGGUCGGAAAGCUCUGUUGUUAGGGAAGAACGAGUGUGGGAGUGGAAAGUUCACACUGUGACGGUAUCUUACCAGAAAGGGACGGCUAACUACGUG
RNAcentral lists this ribosomal RNA (495 nucleotides) under uncultured bacterium. Its description in RNAcentral is "partial 16S ribosomal RNA". It matches the Rfam family "Bacterial small subunit ribosomal RNA", at positions 28 to 507 of the family's 1533-position model. The record is from RNAcentral.